This 595-nucleotide ribosomal RNA is filed under the name uncultured archaeon. RNAcentral's name for it is "bacterial SSU rRNA". It matches the Rfam family "Archaeal small subunit ribosomal RNA", at positions 82 to 654 of the family's 1478-position model. The record is from RNAcentral.
CGCACAGCUCAGUAACACGUGGCUAACCUGCCCUUGGGACGUGGACAACCCCGGGAAACUGGGGCUAAUCCGCGAUAGGUGAAGAACUCUGGAAUGAGUCUCCGCUUAAAGGGUAUUUAGAUUAUGCUUUUAGGUAUCGCCCAAGGAUGGGGCCGCGACCGAUCAGGUUGUUGGUGAGGUAAUGGCCCACCAAGCCUUUUACCGGUGCGGGCCGUGAGAGCGGGAGCCCGGAGAUGGGCACUGAGACAAGGGCCCAGGUCCUACGGGGCGCAGCAGUCGCGAAAACUUUGCAAUACACGAAAGUGUGACAGGGUCAUCCCGAGUGCCGACCGCUGAGGUUGGCUUUUACCCAGUCUAGAACGCUGGGGGAAUAAGGAGAGGGCAAGUCUGGUGUCAGCCGCCGCGGUAAUACCAGCUCUUCGAGUGGUGUGGACGUUUAUUGGGCCUAAAGCACCCGUAGCUGGCUGAUCAAGUCCCCUGUUAAACCCCCCGAUUUAAUCGAUGGGAGGUGCGAGGAAAUCUUGUAUGAGCUAGGGGUCGUAACAUGGCGAACUGUAUUACGGAAGAUUAGGGAUUAAAACAUAAACUCCCGGGA